Lolium perenne is the source of this 3671-nucleotide non-coding RNA. The record is from RefSeq and is a predicted model, not a curated record. NCBI's taxonomy places the organism in Eukaryota, Viridiplantae, Streptophyta, Magnoliopsida, Poales, Poaceae.
UAUUCGGUUACUGCCUGAUUUGCAUGGAAGAUGAGUAGUAUGUUCUGUGGCAUCCAGAGCUCGUGAAGCCAUCAACUAAGUUAUGCACUUUCUGCUGUCACAGGCUUGUUCACGAACGAGGAUUGAAGCCGUAGGUUAGGGCCCUUCCUUCUCUUCUAAUGAAAUCAAGCGAGGAAAAAGUGAGCUUUCUUUGUUUGUGGCCCUAUCCAGCCUUCCUUUGCAUGUGCACAUCGCCAUCCUUUCCCUCCCUGCUCGAGCCCCUCAAUCUGAUUCUCUCCUCUUCAAAUUUAUUUUUCAUUUGCAGAUAGGGUUUGGGUGUAUAGAAUUUUUUUCAGCAAUGUGAUAGAAGGCAGAAUUCAUGCUCAAAGUGUCCAUGGUUACUGCAGCAUUAGGACCAUCCACGACAAGUCGAAUGACACGGCUCUAUAUGGUCUUUGAGGUGGACAGACUGAUUCUACCUUGUCAUGGGCGUGUCGCAGAGAGAGCGUUUCAGAAUUACGGUGCUUAUCAUGUAUUGAGUGAUAACUGACCAUUGAUGGUGCAUAACAUUCAACGAGUGGUGGAAAUGAGGGUGAUGCAUAUUAGUUCCCUAGGUGUCCAAGUACAUGAGCUGAUCCAAGAUGCUGAGCUAAGACCUUGUUUGGGUUUGGUUGGUAGGAGAUCCUUGCACUGUCGGUGACAACAGACAACAUUCGGUGCUGUGGGAGUGUCAGGUAAUUGUAAACUACAUAUUGUGAUGCAGAUGAUGGUACACGUUGGGCUGCUAAUGCAGUAUCAACUAACGAUUGGUGAAAUUUGCUUGGCUAAUAUAGGAUUCUUUUCUAAAAUUCCCAAGGAAUUUGGGAAAAGGCAGCGGUAAGUUAUUCUCCAUGUCCUCCUUUGUAUAACAUCAACAUCUGUGAUAUAACCAGUCUGCACGUCUCUGCUGAAUUUACUUAUUUAGUUAUUUGUUUGUUGUUCUCAGAUUUGUAUCUACUGACGAGAAAAGGUAAGCAAGUAAUAUUUUACAGGUAAGCAAUUGGUUUGAUCGUGUUGGGAAAGUAUUGGUCAAAAAGAAUAUGAAUGACAACACAAGAAAAGGUGACCAUGACAUGGAGAAACACAUUUUUCAAGUCUGCCUACUUGGCGAGCGCAACGGCAGCCGUACCGCCAUCGCCUGACACCCUCAAUAUUGGUUGGAUAUGCUCUAUGUAGAGGUCUCUCAAGAAGCAGUAUGUCGCUGAUGGUGUUCAUGAAGUGACUCCUAAUAAUGAGCAAGACGGCAAAUCUGAUCUCAGAGAAGCUGAAUAACAAAGGAGCAAGUGGAGAAGGUUCUUAAGGCUGGUGCUAACGUUGUAUUUACCACCAAAGGGAAUCAAUGAUAUGUUAUUGAAGGUUGUAGCAAUUGAUAUACAGUCUAGCCUGCAGUGAUUUGUCUUCCCAUGUCUUUGUAAUCUCAAUUUUGUAAAGUAGUGUCCAUCCUGGUUCUGGUGAGCUUAUUUGGGCAAUUAUCGAAGUCUGGUUCUCAUAUAUUGGUUGUGAGAAUUAUUCACCUACUAUGGCUGCCAACAGAGAACGACCUAUGAUCUUGGAAUUGUCCAUUCGGUGCUAUGAAGGUAUCAGGUGCUCAGUUGGAGGUACAUAUUCAAGGUUGAGGCUGAUAUGCACAAUGUAGCAAGGUAGUGUCGAUCCUGGUUCUGGGAAUUGAUUUGGGCAACUUUUGGAGUUUGGUUCUCAUAUAUUGGUCCUGAAAGAUAUUUUUUUGCAAGUGCCCAAUUGAUUUUACGCUUAUUUGAAAGCCAAGCCCGGUAUGUCUCGGGCUCUUCUUUUCUAUUCUGCAUUUCUUCAGAAAAAUAUAUUACUCUCUGGGCUUGAUGAUUUUGGUAACAAGUGUUUAAUAUGCUAGAAUUUGGUACAAAAUUAAAUUUUAGUGUGUUCUCGAGUAGUCGAGUAGCUGCUUGUCUGUCAUUUACUUCUUAUUUUAGUUUAUAGUUUUUUAUGCUUCAUUUUCCCGGUGAUGUGCAAGAAGUUUAAUUUAUGCCAGAAGCUGUAUAUGAGUCCCUGCACAUCCAUUCUCAUUAAGAAAAUAAUAUUUACACUCUACUAUGUAUGCAUGAGCUACUAUUAUAGAGCUCUUAUUGCCAAACAGGUCCAUCAAUGGACACCAAGUGCACACCACUUGGCAUGCCAGCUAAUUUGUUGCUUUUAGGAUGUUACAUGUGCUGUAGGUGGCUUAAUACGGAUACAAAUAAUAUUGUUCCUUUUUACUCAUGAACAAUAAGUACUCAGUUUUUCAGUGUGCCUGCAACCCAGUUCGGCAACAACAAGAGCACAUGGUAUUUGCUCUGUCAGUAUAUCACAAUUUAAUUAUGUUUAUAGGUGUGCUUCCUAUGCAAUAAUCAGAGCCGGAAUUAGUGAGUGGGGCUUUUAACAUGAUUCUGUGUUGCAUCUAGCUCCACAAGCCACCUUAAACAUCCUUUUAAGACCUGAUUGUGUAUGACUGAUUAUGCCAAGGUCUUUAAUCUACCUUUUGUUCACUCGAUAGAGGUUUUCUAGGAUACUCAAUCUCUUCAUGUGUUAUAUGCGUCGGCCAACUUUGUAUCCGCUGAUGACCGGUACCUCCGCGGCAUUAGCUAAUUUUUCCAGCGUACAGAUUUUAGUAGAAAAAACGAAUGUUGUUAUGAAAGAUUUUUCAGACCGGAAAAUACAUAAGAGCCCGCGAGAGCAAGGGGAACCAGUAUGCAUCUUGUUUGGAAUGCAUUUGGCCAGCUGCCAUGGAUGUGGUAUGUUGGCAUUACAAAAAUUUCUAUUUUCUUCAUGUUGGGUAGUGUGCUGUAUAACACCUCGGCUUGCUUAUUUCUUCAUGUUGUGUAGUGCUACAAAGGAAAAUGAUCAAUUAGUGUACUUAUUUCUUUCUGUCAUUUAAUUGAGGUGAUGCUUAAAUUAUCUGGCACUGUUUGAAAUACUACAGAAAUAGAUGCAUGUAUAUUUUCCUUUGCAGCCCUUGCAUUUAUGAUACACAACAUGUUGUAUUUUCCGUAGAUAAACCACAUUUAUUUGUCUACUUCACCGUUUUAUUUACACUUAUUCACAACAUAGUACACUUGUUUACUUUACCAUGUGAUUUCCGGUGAGCUUCACACUCACAUCCAUAGUUGAUUCUGUUCCCUGUAGAAAAUUCAUAGUAGCUAUGCUUUGUUAUGUUAAUGGAUUUGACAAAGAUAAUGAUGACCCAAGCAUGUUUUAUUUCAUAGCUGUGGAACUCUGAGCAAGGUGCACUUCCCCUCCAAGUUACCCUCCAAGUGUGUAGCAUGUGAUUCGCCAUGUUGAGGAAUGCUGCAUUUACUUGCAUAUAAUCCUCCUUUUUUUUUGUAAAAUUAGAGCUUAAAUCAGCUAGCCAGUAGCAACUAAAUGCCCAGGUAGGUUGAGAUGUUGAUGGAGCUGAUAAGCUCUAUUACUUUAUGAAUUAAUGAUUGCUGGUAUCACUAGGAUAGUAGUUAAUGAAUCUUGAAAUCAUGUCUCGCUAUGCAUAAUUUUGCUGAUUGGUUGCUGUUUUGAGUACAAGAAAAUAAAGAUCCGGGGCACUGAAAGCAUCCUUAUUUGUAGUUGAACCGGAUAACCACUUCUGAUGUUUUGCAAUCAUGGUAUGUUCUGAAUUACUAUUGGAAGGGUGGUGAUGAUGUCGCUCUCUA